UAAUAGCUCACUAGUCGAGAGGUCCUGCGCCGAAAAUGUCCGGGGCUGAAACACGACACCGAAGCUUAGGAAUCACAUAGUGAUUGGUAGAGGAGCAUUCUUAAAACCGACGAAGCUGUACCGGAAGGAGCAGUGGAGGGAUAAGAAGAGAGAAUGCCGGAAUGAGUAGCGAGAGGAAGGUGGGAAUCCUUCCGGCCGAAUAUCUAAGGUUUCCAGAGUAAAGCUGAUCUGCUCUGGGUAAGUCGGGGCCUAAGGCGAGGUCGAAAGACGUAGUCGAUGGAUAACAGGUUGAAAUUCCUGUACUAUCCUGUAACAGAACUGUGGGGACACAGGCAGAGAGCGUGAGCCGGGAAUGGAAAGACCGGUACAAGCGAGGUAGGAGAAGAGUUGGCAAAUCCGCUCUUCAAUCUGAAGACGUGAUGUGGACCGAAAAGAAGUAGGGAAGCACGUGAGCUGACUGUCAAGAAAAGCCGCUAUUGUUUGCAGGAUACCCGUACCGUAAACCGACACAGGUGGAUGAGGAGAGAAUCCUAAGGCCGACGGGAGAAGCAUUGUUAAGGAACUCGGCAAAAUGACUCCGUAACUUCGGGAGAAGGAGUGCCAGUAAGAUGGCCGCAGAGAAUUGGCCCAAGCAACUGUUUAGCAAAAACACAGGUCUAUGCAAAACCGAAAGGUGAGGUAUAUGGGCUGACGCCUGCCCGGUGCUGGAAGGUUAAGGGGAGAGGUUAGCGCAAGCGAAGCUUUGAACUUAAGCCCCAGUAAACGGCGGCCGUAACUAUAACGGUCCUAAGGUAGCGAAAUUCCUUGUCGGGUAAGUUCCGACCCGCACGAAAGGCGUAAUGAUUUGAGCGCUGUCUCGACAAUGCACCCGGUGAAAUUGAAAUACCAGUGAAGAUGCUGGUUACCUGCGCCAGGACGGAAAGACCCCAUGGAGCUUUACUCCAGCUUGAUACUGGGAUUCGGUAUUGCAUGUACAGGAUAGGUGGGAGGCUAGGAAAUGGUAACGCCAGUUGCCAUGGAGCCAAUGUUGGGAUACCACCCUUGCAGUACUGGGUUUCUAACCAGCAGCCGUGAUCCGGCUGGGGGACAAUGUCAGGUGGGGAGUUUGACUGGGGCGGUCGCCUCCGAAAGGGUAUCGGAGGCGCUCAAAGGU
Molecule: ribosomal RNA, 1153 nt
Filed under: human gut metagenome
Description: bacterial LSU rRNA
Rfam family: Bacterial large subunit ribosomal RNA
Source: RNAcentral